RNAcentral lists this ribosomal RNA (80 nucleotides) under Pohlia crudoides. Its description in RNAcentral is "partial 28S ribosomal RNA". The record is from RNAcentral. Lineage: Eukaryota; Viridiplantae; Streptophyta; Bryopsida; Bryales; Mniaceae.
UCAGACCUCUAAUCGGAAAAGACUACCCGCUGAGUUUAAGCAUAUCAUUCGUAACAAGGUUUCCGUAGGUGAACCUGCGC